UGCGCAGGUGGGUUUGUAAGUCAGUGGUGAAAUGCUGCCGCUUAACGGUAGAAUAGCCAUUGAUACUGCAAAUCUUGAGUAUGGUUGAGGUAGGCGGAAUGUGUCGUGUAGCGGUGAAAUGCAUAGAUGUGACACAGAACGCCGAUUGCGAAGGCAGCUUACUAAGCCAUUACUGACGCUGAGGCACGAAAGCGUGGGGAGCGAACAGGAUUAGAUACCCUGGUAGUCC
RNAcentral lists this ribosomal RNA (229 nucleotides) under uncultured bacterium. RNAcentral's name for it is "partial 16S ribosomal RNA". It matches the Rfam family "Bacterial small subunit ribosomal RNA", at positions 568 to 796 of the family's 1533-position model. The record is from RNAcentral.